AGCAGCCGCGGUAAUUCCAGCUCCAAUAGCGUAUAUUAAAGUUGUUGCAGUUAAAAAGCUCGUAGUUGAAUUUCGGGAUCAAUAUGUCGGUCGUGCCUUCGGUACGUACUGGUAUCAUUGGUCUCUCCUCUCUGACGAACCAUGAUGUCAUUAAUUUGGUGUUAUGGGGAGUUAGGACUGUUACUUUGAAAAAAUUAGAGUGUUUAAAGCAGGCUUUAGCUUGAAUACAUUAGCAUGGAAUAAUGAAAUAGGACGUUCGAACCUAUUUUGUUGGUUUCCAGGAUCAACGUAAUGAUUAAUAGGGAUAGUUGGGGGCAUUAGUAUUCAAUUGUCAGAGGUGAAAUUCUUGGAUUUAUUGAAGACUAACUACUGCGAAAGCAUUUGCCAAGGAUGUUUUCAUUAAUCAAGAACGAAAGUUAGGGGAUCGAAGACGAUCAGAUACCGUCGUAGUCUUAACCAUAAACUAUGCCGACUAGGGAUCGGAUGAUGUUAAUUUUUUAAUGACUCAUUCGGCGCCUUA
RNAcentral lists this unclassified non-coding RNA (520 nucleotides) under uncultured Glomus. Its description in RNAcentral is "SSU rRNA". It matches the Rfam family "Eukaryotic small subunit ribosomal RNA", at positions 569 to 1090 of the family's 1831-position model. Lineage: Eukaryota; Fungi; Glomeromycota; Glomeromycetes; Glomerales; Glomeraceae. The record is from RNAcentral.